This 232-nucleotide long non-coding RNA is filed under the name Mytilus galloprovincialis (Mediterranean mussel). Lineage: Eukaryota; Metazoa; Mollusca; Bivalvia; Mytilida; Mytilidae. The record is from RNAcentral.
CUUGCGCAAAAGAAGCGCCUGUUUCUCCUCUACAAGACCUAUAUAGUCAUACCCCGUGACACCCCUCAUUAUUUUUCUCUAGGAGCCGUGGAAUAGGUCGACCCCCCCUAUUUUGGACCAUUUUUUUUCAAAUUUUGGGCUCUAGUUUCAGAUUUUUGAACAUAGCGCCCUUCGAUACCUUGCGCAAAAGAAGCGCCUGUUUCUCCUCUACAAGACCUAUAUAGUCAUACCC